AGCUCGUUGGCUCAGUGGUUAGAGGAUGGUGCUCAUACCACCAAGGUCGUGGGUUCGAUUCCCACAUGGGCCA
This is a non-coding RNA of Rhinolophus ferrumequinum (greater horseshoe bat), 73 nucleotides long. The record is from the annotation of a RefSeq genome assembly. Lineage: Eukaryota; Metazoa; Chordata; Mammalia; Chiroptera; Rhinolophidae.